AGAGUUUGAUCCUGGCUCAGGAUGAACGCUGGCGGCAUGCCUAAUACAUGCAAGUCGAACGGAAAUGACUUCGGUUAUUUCAGUGGCGAACGGGUGAGUAACACGUGAGUAACUUGCCCCAAAGACGAGGAUAACCAAUGGAAACGUUGGCUAAAACUCGAUAGGACGAAUCAUCGCAUGAUGACUCGUUUAAAGGCGCUUUAUUGCGACACUUUGGGAGGGACUUGCGCAGCAUUAGCUAGUUGGUAGGGUAGAGGCCUACCAAGGCAACGAUGCUUAGCUGGAUUGAGAGGUUGAACAGCCACACUGGAACUGAGACACGGUCCANACUCCUACGGGAGGCAGCAGUAGGGAAUUUUCGUAAUGGGGGGAACCCUGAACGAGCAAUGCCGCGUGAACGAUGAAGGUCUUCGGAUUGUAAAGUUCUGUUAUUAGGGAANAAAGAUUGUGAUAGGCAAUGAUCACAAGAUGACGGUACCUAACGAGAAAGCUCCGGCUAACUACGUGCCAGCAGCCGCGGUAAUACGUAGGGAGCAAGCGUUAUCCGGAAUUAUUGGGCGUAAAGCGUGCGCAGGUGGUUAGAUUAGUCAAAUGUGAAAGCCCACGGCUUAACCGUGGAGGGUCAUUUGAAACUGUCUAACUAGAGUACGGUAGAGGUUAGUGGAAUUCAAUGUGUAGCGGUAAAAUGCGUANAUAUAUUGAGGAACACCAGUGGCGAAGGCGGCUAACUGGACCGGAACUGACACUGAGGCACGAAAGCGUGGGUAGCAAACAGGAUUAGAUACCCUGGUAGUCCNCGCCGUAAACGAUGAGAACUAAGUGUUGGGG
This 828-nucleotide ribosomal RNA is filed under the name uncultured bacterium. Its description in RNAcentral is "bacterial SSU rRNA". It matches the Rfam family "Bacterial small subunit ribosomal RNA", at positions 8 to 828 of the family's 1533-position model. The record is from RNAcentral.